This 403-nucleotide ribosomal RNA is filed under the name uncultured Malassezia. RNAcentral's name for it is "bacterial SSU rRNA". It matches the Rfam family "Eukaryotic small subunit ribosomal RNA", at positions 1320 to 1659 of the family's 1831-position model. The record is from RNAcentral. Lineage: Eukaryota; Fungi; Basidiomycota; Malasseziomycetes; Malasseziales; Malasseziaceae.
GCACCGUUCUUGAGGCUUGCACUCCCUUUCAUCGCUCCACAACGCCCUUUGGCGACCACGUACAUCGUGACGAGCAAAGGUUUCGAUAACGAAGAGACCUUAACCUGCUAAAUAGCCGGGCGGGCUUGGGUUGGCGGCUGGCUUCUUAGAGGGACUAUCGGGGUUUAGCCGAUGGAAGUUGGAGGCAAUAACAGGUCGGGGAGGCCCUUAGAGGUUCGGGGCCGCAGGGGGGCUACACGGACGGAGCCAGGGAGUCUUUUCCUUGUCCGGAAGGCCUGGGUAAUCUUGUGAAACUUUGUCGUGCUGGGGAUAGAGCAUUGCAAUUAUUGCUCUUCAACGAGGAAUUCCUAGUAAGCGUGAGUCAUCAGCUCGCGUUGAUUACGUGCCUGCCGUAACCUCGAGG